Molecule: microRNA precursor, 78 nt
Filed under: Dasypus novemcinctus (nine-banded armadillo)
Lineage: Eukaryota; Metazoa; Chordata; Mammalia; Cingulata; Dasypodidae
Description: miRNA (ENSDNOG00000046943.1)
Source: RNAcentral
CACCUUCAGAGAUUCUGAGUCAGUAGGUUUUGAUUUAGACAUGGGAUUCUGCAUUUCUAGCAAGUUCCAAGUGAUGCU